RNAcentral lists this long non-coding RNA (876 nucleotides) under Brachypodium distachyon (stiff brome). RNAcentral's name for it is "long non-coding RNA (BDIS_LNC004447)". Lineage: Eukaryota; Viridiplantae; Streptophyta; Magnoliopsida; Poales; Poaceae. The record is from RNAcentral.
ACUGGUAAGUGGUAUGGAAUCUAUUCCUAAUCUCAUCUGCGUACAGUUUGUUUAAUUGAUUGGGAGUAGCCGGUAGUAUGCAAAUCAUGAAUGUUCUUUUGCUUCAAUGAGUUCUCUAGACUUUAUCAUCUAUUUUGAACAAUGGUUUACUUCAAAAAUAUAUUCACUUUGGUCUGCUUAUAGUCAGAGUCACAGCACUCAGUUUCCACUUAAAAUCAAUUAACUAGACAUACAUGUUUAUUCGACUAUUGAUGAAUUAAUUCACUAUCUUGGUUAAAGAUGCAGCUGCUGUCCACUCCCUAAUUGUGUGGUACUAUUUGUUUCUUAAGUACAUUAUCUAUUUAAUGCUCAUUCAUGUUAGGGUUUACUUUCUGAGCAAUUCAAUUGAUUUACAGGAGUGGCUACAAAGUGCAAAAGAGGAUGAUGUCUUGGACCAUAUAUAACCUAGAUGUGAAGUCGUUACCCUCCAAGUCACUUAGAUCAGGUUAUAUUGUUGACAUGCCAUGAGUUUGGCUAAUUGAGAUAAGGUCUUUCAAUUAUACUACUUUUUAUCAGAUUAAUAAGGUGUCCAUAGUGUUUCCUUACAUUUGGGUAAACACACAGAAUGAUGUAUAUAUAUUUAACCCUGCUAUAAAUGACACUUCUAUCUGAAUGACAGCUGACCAGUUUGGAUGUGGGAUUUGCUAUAUAUGCUAGAAAAAAAUGCUUGCACCUUUAGUUUGAUCGAGAGAUAGCAAUUGGAGCCAUUACUUUCAGUGUUAAUGGCACUAAACACAUUUGAUAUACCAAUACUCUCUGGGCUGCAGGAUGAAACAUUCAGGGGCUCACAUCUGCAUCAGGUUAGGAGACAUUCACUUAACUGAUCAUGAAUUUAAC